This 635-nucleotide ribosomal RNA is filed under the name Nocardia sp. Se1Pw_3149. RNAcentral describes it as "bacterial SSU rRNA". It matches the Rfam family "Bacterial small subunit ribosomal RNA", at positions 382 to 1029 of the family's 1533-position model. The record is from RNAcentral. Lineage: Bacteria; Bacillati; Actinomycetota; Actinomycetes; Mycobacteriales; Nocardiaceae.
CCUGAUGCAGCGACGCCGCGUGAGGGAUGACGGCCUUCGGGUUGUAAACCUCUUUCGACAGGGACGAAGCGAGAGUGACGGUACCUGUAGAAGAAGCACCGGCCAACUACGUGCCAGCAGCCGCGGUAAUACGUAGGGUGCGAGCGUUGUCCGGAAUUACUGGGCGUAAAGAGCUUGUAGGCGGUCUGUCGCGUCUUCUGUGAAAACUUGGGGCUCAACCUUAAGCUUGCAGGGGAUACGGGCAGACUAGAGUACUUCAGGGGAGACUGGAAUUCCUGGUGUAGCGGUGAAAUGCGCAGAUAUCAGGAGGAACACCGGUGGCGAAGGCGGGUCUCUGGGAAGUAACUGACGCUGAGAAGCGAAAGCGUGGGUAGCGAACAGGAUUAGAUACCCUGGUAGUCCACGCCGUAAACGGUGGGUACUAGGUGUGGGUUUCCUUCCACGGGAUCCGUGCCGUAGCUAACGCAUUAAGUACCCCGCCUGGGGAGUACGGCCGCAAGGCUAAAACUCAAAGGAAUUGACGGGGGCCCGCACAAGCGGCGGAGCAUGUGGAUUAAUUCGAUGCAACGCGAAGAACCUUACCUGGGUUUGACAUACACCGGAAACCUGCAGAGAUGUAGGCCCCCUUGUGGUCG